Tachysurus fulvidraco (yellow catfish) is the source of this 764-nucleotide long non-coding RNA. RefSeq lists it as uncharacterized. The transcript has 4 exons. NCBI's taxonomy places the organism in Eukaryota, Metazoa, Chordata, Actinopteri, Siluriformes, Bagridae. The record is from RefSeq and is a predicted model, not a curated record.
UAUUGACAGUAUAAUGACCCACAUGUCUGUAUUCUUAAUUCUAACUGACUUCUGCUGAAUGAACAUUAUAGUAUGUUAUUUUUUUCUUGCACACAGCAAAACGCACCACAAAUCAGCAAUGCCACAGAGGAUCCUCAUUAAUAAGGUUUGGCCAUCUGGCCUGUCCUUUCUCCAGUCUCCUAAAAGUGGCAGUAAUUAUCUACAAGUACUAAUUCUUCAUCAUGACAGUCCUCCAUUCGUCUGUGGAACAAUCGUGAGUUUAUCACCAAAGUCGAGCUUGCUUCAGAGAAUUCCUCGGUAUUUAAUGUUUUCCUGCUGCGAAACAGAGGUGAGAAAAGAAGAAAACUGUGUGUGGCCUGGUGGAAUCAGAUGCUUGAUUGAUAUGAAAAGCUGAACCCAAGCGACUCUUUGCGGAUAAGAUUGGACAUCGAAGUUUUAAGUGUCAGUGCCAUGCAGCCCGUUAUGACUACCAGAGGCAGCUACACGAGUAGAAAGGUACAGCAUUGGCAGUCUCUUUAGUGUACCGCUUGUGGUCUGUUAAUGAUCAUUUAAACAAUUAAGAAGCAAUAUGUCAGAACUGAUCUGUUUUAAUUUCUCAAAAUACCACUUAAAAUCUAAUUUAAUCUCCUAGUGAAGAGGAACGUAAUGUACAAGAACCACAGAGCCAUCAACAGCCAAUGGAUCUCAAUAAAUCAUUGCUAUUAGAAUAGUAAUUAUAGAGAUUAUAUAUUCAUAGUGGUAUCUGUUCGUACCCUUUUUCCAAC